This 625-nucleotide ribosomal RNA is filed under the name Pseudomonas sp. Its description in RNAcentral is "bacterial SSU rRNA". It matches the Rfam family "Bacterial small subunit ribosomal RNA", at positions 56 to 679 of the family's 1533-position model. Lineage: Bacteria; Pseudomonadati; Pseudomonadota; Gammaproteobacteria; Pseudomonadales; Pseudomonadaceae. The record is from RNAcentral.
UGCGAGUCGAGCGGAUGAGGGAGCUUGCUCCUGGAUUCAGCGGCGGACGGGUGAGUAAUGCCUAGGAAUCUGCCUGGUAGUGGGGGAUAACGUCCGGAAACGGGCGCUAAUACCGCAUACGUCCUGAGGGGGAAAGUGGGGGAUCUUCGGACCUCACGCUAUCAGAUGAGCCUAGGUCGGAUUAGCUAGUUGGUGGGGUAAAGGCCUACCAAGGCGACGAUCCGUAACUGGUCUGAGAGGAUGAUCAGUCACACUGGAACUGAGACACGGUCCAGACUCCUACGGGAGGCAGCAGUGGGGAAUAUUGGACAAUGGGCGAAAGCCUGAUCCAGCCAUGCCGCGUGUGUGAAGAAGGUCUUCGGAUUGUAAAGCACUUUAAGUUGGGAGGAAGGGCAGUAAGUUAAUACCUUGCUGUUUUGACGUUACCAACAGAAUAAGCACCGGCUAACUUCGUGCCAGCAGCCGCGGUAAUACGAAGGGUGCAAGCGUUAAUCGGAAUUACUGGGCGUAAAGCGCGCGUAGGUGGUUCAGCAAGUUGGAUGUGAAAUCCCCGGGCUCAACCUGGGAACUGCAUCCAAACUACUGAGCUAGAGUACGGUAGAGGGUGGUGGAUUUCCUGUGUAGC